GAAUUUUGGACAAUGGGGGAAACCCUGAUCCAGCCAUCCCGCGUGUAUGAUGAAGGUUUUCGGAUCGUAAAGCUCUGUCCUUGGGGAAGAAGGCGGCCAUUUAUGGUCACUUGACGGUACCCAAGGAGGAAGCCCCGGCUAACUACGUGCCAGCAGCCGCGGUAAUACGUAGGGGGCAAGCGUUGUCCGGAAUUAUUGGGCGUAAAGGGUGCGUAGGCGGCCUUUUAAGUCAGAUGUGAAAGACCACGGCUUAACCGUGGGGUUGCAUUUGAAACUGGAGGGCUUGAGUAUCGGAGAGGGUAGUGGAAUUCCCAGUGUAGCGGUGGAAUGCGUAGAUAUUGGGAGGAACACCAGUGGCGAAGGCGACUACCUGGACGAAAACUGACGCUGAGGCACGAAAGCUAGGGGAGCAAACA
This 416-nucleotide ribosomal RNA is filed under the name uncultured bacterium. RNAcentral describes it as "partial 16S ribosomal RNA". It matches the Rfam family "Bacterial small subunit ribosomal RNA", at positions 359 to 774 of the family's 1533-position model. The record is from RNAcentral.